RNAcentral lists this ribosomal RNA (467 nucleotides) under uncultured bacterium. RNAcentral describes it as "partial 16S ribosomal RNA". It matches the Rfam family "Bacterial small subunit ribosomal RNA", at positions 28 to 507 of the family's 1533-position model. The record is from RNAcentral.
GACGAACGCUGGCGGCGUGCUUAACACAUGCAAGUCGAACGGAAAGGCCUCUUUCGGGGGGUACUCGAGUGGCGAACGGGUGAGUAACACGUGAGUAACCUGCCCUUGACUUUGGGAUAACUUCAGGAAGCUGGGGCUAAUACCGGAUAGGAGCUCCUGCUGCAUGGUGGGGGUUGGAAAGUUUCGGCGGUUGGGGAUGGACUCGCGGCUUAUCAGCUUGUUGGUGGGGUAGUGGCUUACCAAGGCUUUGACGGGUAGCCGGCCUGAGAGGGUGACCGGCCACAUUGGGACUGAGAUACGGCCCAGACUCCUACGGGAGGCAGCAGUGGGGAAUAUUGCACAAUGGGUGGAAGCCUGAUGCAGCAACGCCGUGUGCGCGAUGACGGCCUUCGGGUUGUAAACCGCUUUCGCUCAUGACGAAGCUUUGUGUGACGGUAGUGGGUAAAGAAGCACCGGCUAACUACGUG